GAAACCCGUGCCUGAUGAUGGUGCACACGCCGCAACCUGGGAUCGAGCCGCACAAGUUCGACGAGCCGCGAGCGCCCAACGAGCACGUUAGACUCGUACAGUAGAAUCGCAGCAGCUCGUUACCAUCAGCUGCACACCUGGGGUUUUUUUUAGUGCUAUUGAGAGCACGAGUCUUGACAACAUCUCUGGAGUCCUCGAACCGUUGAAUGGUGCGUUGUGUGUUGUGAACUUUUAAUAUCCGUUCGAUCUUACAGAUGGAGUUAUCUUUCUUGAGCCAGCUUGAUUUGAAGAUGAUCUCCACAAUGUUUCUACUGGAAUCCUCUGGGCCCAGCUCUGAUACGGCAUGGCGAACUUUUUGAUGAAGCUCUAAGCUUUCAGACUUGGGGAAGAUCUCUCCACACUGGGAGCAUGCGCAUAUUGUAGUCCUUGGAGAUGGGUACCUGCUAGGGUCAACGAUCAUGUGACAUUCAUAACAACCAGAAAGCUUCCUGAAUUGUAUGCCUCUUGAAGAUGAAGUGUAGGUUGCGCCACCGCUGGAUCUCCCUGAACUCCCCAACGACCUAGUUGAUGACCCAUUAGCUGCUUUUCGACUCAGCAGUCCAGUUUCUUGACCUACUGUGCUACUUUCGGGUGAGUUAUCAGCUCUGUGAACAACCCUUGUGUUGCCAUGAACAACGUCUCUGAAACUGCAUAUAGAGCUGCAGGAAGAACCCAGCUUUGAGUAUCCGUUAGGGUUCUUCGAUGGGUCAUGUAC
RNAcentral lists this unclassified non-coding RNA (754 nucleotides) under Hevea brasiliensis (rubber tree). The record is from RNAcentral. Lineage: Eukaryota; Viridiplantae; Streptophyta; Magnoliopsida; Malpighiales; Euphorbiaceae.